GUAACCACUAAUUUAGUCCUGGGGUAGAAGGCAAAGAUAGGAUGAGGGUCAUACAGUCCCUUACACAGAACUCAGCCCACGCCUCCAAGACUCCCUGGGGAGACAGCCGAGCUCUCACCUCUGUGCCUGCCCCUGCCACCAUGGUUUCACUGAUCUCUGCAAUGUAGAGUGGAUUAUCGGUGCCGAGCCUAAGCCAGUAAUAAAGGGCCAGGUGAAGAAUAAAACAGAGAUG
This is a long non-coding RNA of Sarcophilus harrisii (Tasmanian devil), 232 nucleotides long. RefSeq lists it as uncharacterized. The record is from RefSeq and is a predicted model, not a curated record. The transcript is spliced from 2 exons. Lineage: Eukaryota; Metazoa; Chordata; Mammalia; Dasyuromorphia; Dasyuridae.